Molecule: RNase P RNA, 337 nt
Filed under: Methanobacteriota archaeon
Lineage: Archaea; Methanobacteriati; Methanobacteriota
Also listed under: 2 other names
Description: RNase P RNA component
Rfam family: Archaeal RNase P
About the family: Ribonuclease P (RNase P) is a ubiquitous endoribonuclease, found in archaea, bacteria and eukarya as well as chloroplasts and mitochondria. Its best characterised activity is the generation of mature 5'-ends of tRNAs by cleaving the 5'-leader elements of precursor-tRNAs.
Source: RNAcentral
GGGAGGGAGAGGGCGGCCAACGGGCGAAAGCACCGAGGAAAGUCCUCCCUCCAUCCGGAAAUGUGAGUGGGCAAUCCACCGGGAGAGAUCCCGAGCUCUGGAACAGAAACGACACGGCCGUUGGCACUGGGAUGAAGGGUUAAGAUCACCGGGCGACCGGGGAAACGACCCGGACGACGCCGGCGGAUUCGAUGGAACGGCGAAUCUUCGCAGGAGCAAGCCGAAACGAGGCCUGAGAGUUCCGGACGAGGCCUGGGUACGGCGCUUAGUUAAAUGCCGCGAGCCGUCCGCGGGCGACCGCUGACGGGAAACAGAAGGAGGCUUACUCCUCCCACCC